RNAcentral lists this ribosomal RNA (462 nucleotides) under uncultured bacterium. RNAcentral describes it as "bacterial SSU rRNA". It matches the Rfam family "Bacterial small subunit ribosomal RNA", at positions 51 to 507 of the family's 1533-position model. The record is from RNAcentral.
ACACAUGCAAGUCGAACGGCAGCACGGGAGCAAUCCUGGUGGCGGAGUGGCGAACGGGUGAGUAAUAUAUCGGAACGUGCCCAGUCGUGGGGGAUAACGUAGCGAAAGCUACGCUAAUACCGCAUACGAUCUAUGGAUGAAAGCGGGGGAUCGCAAGACCUCGCGCGAUUGGAGCGGCCGAUAUCAGAUUAGGUAGUUGGUGAGGUAAAGGCUCACCAAGCCGACGAUCUGUAGCUGGUCUGAGAGGACGACCAGCCACACUGGGACUGAGACACGGCCCAGACUCCUACGGGAGGCAGCAGUGGGGAAUUUUGGACAAUGGGCGCAAGCCUGAUCCAGCAAUGCCGCGUGCAGGAUGAAGGCCUUCGGGUUGUAAACUGCUUUUGUACGGAACGAAACGGUGAGCUCUAAUACAGUUUGCUAAUGACGGUACCGUAAGAAUAAGCACCGGCUAACUACGUG